Oncorhynchus keta (chum salmon) is the source of this 1147-nucleotide long non-coding RNA. RefSeq lists it as uncharacterized. Lineage: Eukaryota; Metazoa; Chordata; Actinopteri; Salmoniformes; Salmonidae. The record is from RefSeq and is a predicted model, not a curated record. The transcript has 3 exons.
CGUGCCCCUGGCUAUAGGUAAAUGAUGUCUGAGUGUUGGAGCGUGCCCCUGGCUAUAGGUAAAUGAUGUCUGAGUGUUGGAGCGUGCCCCUGGCUAUAGGUAAAUGAUGUCUGAGUGUUGGAGCAUGCCCCUGGCUAUAGGUAAAUGAUGUCUGAGUGUUGGAGCGUGCCCCUGGCUAUAGGUAAAUGAUGUCUGAGUGUUGGAGUGUGCCCCUGGCUAUAGGUAAAUGAUGUCUGAGUGUUGGAGCGUGCCCCUGGCUAUAGGUAAAUGAUGUCUGAGUGUUGGAGCGUGCCCCUGGCUAUAGGUAAAUGAUGUCUGAGUGUUGGAGCGUGCCCCUGGCUAUAGGUAAAUGAUGUCUGAGUGUUGGAGCGUGCCCCUGGCUAUAGGUAAAUGAUGUCUGAGUGUUGGAGUGUGCCCCUGGCUAUAGGUAAAUGAUGUCUGAGUGUUGGAGCGUGCCCCUGGCUAUAGGUAAAUGAUGUCUGAGUGUUGGAGCGUGCCCCUGGCUAUAGGUAAAUGAUGUCUGAGUGUUGGAGUGGUGCCCCUGGCUAUAGGUAAAUGAUGUCUGAGUGUUGGAGCGUGCCCCUGGCUAUAGGUAAAUGAUGUCUGAGUGUUGGAGUGUGCCCCUGGCUAUAGGUAAAUGAUGUCUGAGUGUUGGAGCAUGCCCCUGGCUAUAGGUAAAUGAUGUCUGAGUGUUGGAGUGGUGCCCCUGGCUAUAGGUAAAUGAUGUCUGAGUGUUGGAGUGGUGCCCCUGGCUAUAGGUAAAUGAUGUCUGAGUGUUGGAGUGGUGCCCCUGGCUAUAGGUAAAUGAUGUCUGAGUGUUGGAGUGUGCCCCUGGCUAUAGGUAAAUGAUGUCUGAGUGUUGGAGUGUGCCCCUGGCUAUAGGUAAAUGAUGUCUGAGUGUUGGAGCGUGCCCCUGGCUAUAGGUAAAUGAUGUCUGAGUGUUGGAGCGUGCCCCUGGCUAUAGGUAAAUGAUGUCUGAGUGUUGGAGUGGUGCCCCUGGCUAUAGGUAAAUGAUGUCUGAGUGUUGGAGUGUGCCCCUGGCUAUAGGUAAAUGAUGUCUGAGUGUUGGAGCGUGCCCCUGGCUAUAGGUAAAUGAUGUCUGAGUGUUGGAGCGUGCCCCUGGCUAUAGGUAAAUGAUGUCUGAGUG